RNAcentral lists this ribosomal RNA (547 nucleotides) under Rhodotorula mucilaginosa. Its description in RNAcentral is "eukaryotic LSU rRNA". It matches the Rfam family "Eukaryotic large subunit ribosomal RNA", at positions 87 to 650 of the family's 3401-position model. The record is from RNAcentral. Lineage: Eukaryota; Fungi; Basidiomycota; Microbotryomycetes; Sporidiobolales; Sporidiobolaceae.
CGGCGAGCGAAGCGGGAAGAGCUCAAAUUUAUAAUCUGGCACCUUCGGUGUCCGAGUUGUAAUCUCUAGAAAUGUUUUCCGCGUUGGACCGCACACAAGUCUGUUGGAAUACAGCGGCAUAGUGGUGAGACCCCCGUAUAUGGUGCGGACGCCCAGCGCUUUGUGAUACAUUUUCGAAGAGUCGAGUUGUUUGGGAAUGCAGCUCAAAUUGGGUGGUAAAUUCCAUCUAAAGCUAAAUAUUGGCGAGAGACCGAUAGCGAACAAGUACCGUGAGGGAAAGAUGAAAAGCACUUUGGAAAGAGAGUUAACAGUACGUGAAAUUGUUGGAAGGGAAACGCUUGAAGUCAGACUUGCUUGCUGAGCAAUCGGUUUGCAGGCCAGCAUCAGUUUUCCGGGAUGGAUAAUGGUAGAGAGAAGGUAGCAGUUUCGGCUGUGUUAUAGCUCUCUGCUGGAUACAUCUUGGGGGACUGAGGAACGCAGUGUGCCUUUGGCGGGGGUUUCGACCUCUUCACACUUAGGAUGCUGGUGGAAUGGCUUUAAACGACCC